CAGUCGCCGCGGGAAUACAGAGGGUGCAAGCGUUAAUCAGAAUUACUGGGCGUAAAGCGCGCGUAGGUGGUUUGUUAAGUUGGAUGUGAAAGCCCCGGGCUCAACCUGGGAACUGCAUCCAAAACUGGCAAGCUAGAGUACGGUAGAGGGUGGUGGAAUUUCCUGUGUAGCGGUGAAAUGCGUAGAUAUAGGAAGGAACACCAGUGGCGAAGGCGACCACCUGGACUGAUACUGACACUGAGGUGCGAAAGCGUGGGGAGCAAACAGGAUUAGAUACCCCUGUAGUCCCUGUCUCUUAUAC
This 301-nucleotide ribosomal RNA is filed under the name uncultured bacterium. RNAcentral's name for it is "partial 16S ribosomal RNA". It matches the Rfam family "Bacterial small subunit ribosomal RNA", at positions 509 to 807 of the family's 1533-position model. The record is from RNAcentral.